RNAcentral lists this long non-coding RNA (1060 nucleotides) under Mus spicilegus (steppe mouse). RNAcentral describes it as "lncRNA (ENSMSIG00000018299.1)". Lineage: Eukaryota; Metazoa; Chordata; Mammalia; Rodentia; Muridae. The record is from RNAcentral.
CUUCUCCAAAGCCAGUUUUCAACCCUGCUUGUAAAACACAACAAGUCCAACAUUGUUCUGAUUUCUCACAGGAGGACUGCGUGUAUCUACUUUGAAGUCUCGUUAUUUCAGUCAACACCCGUGCAUGGCUUCUGCUCACUGGGGAAGUUGCUGCAGGGGUAGGAGGAGACCCGGUGUCAGCCCUGGCCAGAACUGGCUCGCUUCUCUCUGCUUGUUGACAGUAACCAGGCAACAGGUUCAGGAAAGACCUGAAGAAUCCGAGCUCCAUGAUCUUGAAGGACUCGGGCCCACCCCCAGGUUUCCAGGACAUCUCGAGAGGAACAGAAACAUGGGGGCACAGCAUGGGGGUGUGCAUACAAAGCAGAGGCACAGCUUACAGAGAAGCAGAGGUUGGGACUUUUCCUUGGAUGGCAAGAUGAAAUUCAGCCGCCAAGAGGCGCACAGUGCGCACCGUGCUGUCUGCAGCGACAUCUUCUGGCCACUUUUGGAAUAACUUUCCUUUGAGGAAUUGUCUUUAAAGAACGGUUUAGGCAAAAGCCAGGUGGAGGAUUUGUACUGUGGUUGUAUCUAGGUGAGAGGAGAGUUCAGCAUUUAUCACAAACCCAAGAAAGCCCCCAUUAUGCCUGGCAGAACCCCCCCUGAAGCCUGUAGCCAGUCAGCUCAGCCCAUUGAAUAAUCAAACAUCAUUGGUAUCUAUGUCCACUCCUCUGCAGGACAGGGUUGUCGAUAUGUAGCCUAGGCUGCCCUCGAAUGUAGGAUCCUCUUGCCACAGCCUCCUGAGUGCCGGCAUUACAUCGCUGGUCAGUCAGCACUUGGGUGACAGGAACAGGCUACUGUGCUUAUCUGUGUGUGUGUGUGUGUUUUGAAAUUUGUUGUUGGGCUGGUGAGAUGGCUCAGUAGUUGAGAGGGCCGACUGCUCUUCCAAAGGUCCUGAGUUCAAAUCCCAGCAACCACAUGGUGGCUCACAAUCAUCCAUAACAAAAAUCUGAUGCCCUCUUCUGGGGCGUCUGAAGACAGCUACAGUGUACACACAUAUAAUAAACAAACAAACAAACAAACA